Molecule: ribosomal RNA, 1182 nt
Filed under: Steromphala rarilineata
Lineage: Eukaryota; Metazoa; Mollusca; Gastropoda; Trochida; Trochidae
Description: SSU rRNA
Rfam family: Eukaryotic small subunit ribosomal RNA
Source: RNAcentral
CUGGUUGAUCCUGCCAGUAAUCAUAUGCUUGUCUCAAAGAUUAAGCCAUGCAUGUCUAAGUACAAACUCUAGCACAGUGAAACUGCGAAUGGCUCAUUAGAUCAGUUAUGGUUCCUUAGAUGAUACAAUCCUACUUGGAUAACUGUGGUAAUUCUAGAGCUAAUACAUGCACUAUAGCUCCGACCCUUCUGGGGGAAGAGCGCGUUUAUCAGUUCGAAGCCAGCCGGGUCGCAAGGCCCGUCUCUUUGGUGACUCUGGAUAACUCUAGCGGAUCGCAUGGCCCUGAGCCGGCGACGCAUCUAUCAAGUGUCUGCCCUAUCAGACUGUCGAUGGUAAGUGCUAUGCUUACCAUGGUGAUAACGGGUAACGGGGAAUCAGGGUUCGAUUACGGAGAGGGAGCCUGAGAAACGGCUACCACAUCCAAGGAAGGCAGCAGGCGCGCAAAUUACCCAAUCUCGACACGAGGAGGUAGUGACGAAAAAUAACAAUACGGGACUCUUUCGAGGCCCCGUAAUUGGAAUGAGUGCACUCUAAACGUGUGCACGAGGAUCUAUUGGAGGGCAAGUCUGGUGCCAGCAGCCGCGGUAAUUCCAGCUCCAAUAGCGUAUAUUAAAGUUGUUGUGGUUAAAAAGCUCGUAGUUGGAUCUCAGGGUCGUUCGCGUCGGUCCCUUGCUUAAAUGGCUCGGGUACUGCGCGGUGUCGUCCCCCUUGCCAGACCUCUCAAAAAGGUUGCUCUUGACUGAGUGGCCUGCUCGAGUGGCUGGAGAGUUUACUUUGAAAAAAUUAGAGUGUUCAAAGCAGGCACUGCCCGCCUGUAUAAUGGUGCAUGGAAUAAUGGAAUAGGACCCCGGAUCCUAUUUUGCUGGUUUUUGGAGCUCAGGGGUAAUGAUUAAGAGGAACAGGGCGGGGGCAUCCGUAUUACGGCGUUAGAGGUGAAAUUCUUGGAUCGUCGUAAGACGCCCUACAGCGAAAGCAUUUGCCAAGUAUGUUUUCAUUAAUCAAGAACGAAAGUCAGAGGUUCGAAGACGAUCAGAUACCGUCGUAGUUCUGACCGUAAACUAUGCCAACUGGCAGCCCGUCGGCGUUGCUCUAUUCGACUCGGCGGGAGGCCUACCGAAAACGAAAGUCUUCGGGUUCCAGGGGAAGUAUGGUUGCAAAGCUGAAACUUAAAGGAAUUGACGG